GGAAGUAGAAGUCGUAACAAGGUCUCCGUUGGUGAACCAGCGGAGGGAUCAUUACCGAGUUUACAACUCCCAAACCCUUUGUGAACCUUACCUAUCGUUGCUUCGGCGGGACCGCCCUGGCGCCUCGCGGCGCCGGAACUCAGGCGCCCGCCGGGGGCCCGAAACUCUUGUUUAAUUUAGUGUUUCCUCUCCGAGUGGCACAAGCAAAAAUAAAUCAAAACUUUCAACAACGGAUCUCUUGGCUCUG
RNAcentral lists this unclassified non-coding RNA (247 nucleotides) under plant metagenome. RNAcentral's name for it is "partial contains small subunit ribosomal RNA, internal transcribed spacer 1, and 5.8S ribosomal RNA". The stretch from base 1 to 54 matches the Rfam family "Eukaryotic small subunit ribosomal RNA", at positions 1778 to 1831 of the family's 1831-position model. The record is from RNAcentral.